CUACGGGUGGCACCAGUGGGGAAUAUUGCACAAUGGGCGCAAGCCUGAUGCAGCCAUGCCGCGUGUAUGAAGAAGGCCUUCGGGUUGUAAAGUACUUUCAGCGGGGAGGAAGGGAGUAAAGUUAAUACCUUUGCUCAUUGACGUUACCCGCAGAAGAAGCACCGGCUAACUCCGUGCCAGCAGCCGCGGUAAUACGGAGGGUGCAAGCGUUAAUCGGAAUUACUGGGCGUAAAGCGCACGCAGGCGGUUUGUUAAGUCAGAUGUGAAAUCCCCGGGCUCAACCUGGGAACUGCAUCUGAUACUGGCAAGCUCGAGUCUCGUAGAGGGGGGUAGAAUUCCAGGUGUAGCGGUGAAAUGCGUAGAGAUCUGGAGGAAUACCGGUGGCGAAGGCGGCCCCCUGGACGAAGACUGACGCUCAGGUGCGAAAGCGUGGGGAGCAAACAGGAUUAGAUACGCCGGUAGUC
Molecule: ribosomal RNA, 464 nt
Filed under: uncultured bacterium
Lineage: Bacteria
Description: partial 16S ribosomal RNA
Rfam family: Bacterial small subunit ribosomal RNA
Source: RNAcentral